RNAcentral lists this ribosomal RNA (1842 nucleotides) under Triticum aestivum (bread wheat). Its description in RNAcentral is "partial small subunit ribosomal RNA". Lineage: Eukaryota; Viridiplantae; Streptophyta; Magnoliopsida; Poales; Poaceae. The record is from RNAcentral.
AUGUGUCCCACCUUUACAGUCGUGUCACGUCUUGAAAAUUACUAUCCCUCACAUCAACGCCACCCUGUUGCCAUCUACCUCCCCCUCCACCCAACGCAGCUCUGUGUUCCUCUGUUCUUCUCACCGGAAGGAGCUUGGCUCCCACUGAACGAGGUGCGGCAGCCUAUUCCUCGGCACGCGAGUUGCCCUACCACGGCGAGCCCCCUCAUCUGGCGGCGCUGCGCGAGGGCAGUCGGCGGCGAUCCGGUCCACACGGAAGAGGCGGGGAGGGAUAAAAUGUCAAUUCCUUUUAGUGGAGUACAAGCUGCGAUGGUUAUCAAUCGGGUAGAAAACAGCGCCCAAUCUCCUGAAGAUUGGAAUAGCGAUGGUGAUGGUUCAGGUUGUUCAACCGGAGUAGCUGGCACACCAUGUUUCACCUCUAGGUUAUCACUGCUCAAGGCUGGUUCAGUAAUAGCACAGUUUAGUGAAUUCAAGCGGGAGCUAGUUAGGGAAACCGGUUUCGGAGGAAUGCUAGAUUUGAAGUCAUGGCAGAAGAUUAACUUGAAAUACAGUGCUUAUUUGAUCGAUAGAGUUGAUUUAGAUUCCUGCUCCUUGAACCUGGAGUCACAGGGGGUGUUGGAUUUGUUUGACAAGGAUUUGAACUAUGUUUUUGGCAUCCCAUGUGGGAAUCUAACAAUUGAAGGUGAAGGCGUUGAACCAUCUGUAGCUUGUAUCGAGUACACACGGAUAGCAGCAUCAGUUAGCGAGAAAGGCACACACAGCCUCAAAGCCGCUGAAUCAUUCUUGCUUGGACCCAUAUCAGAAGAAUCAACAGAAACAGAGAAGGAUUGUUUCAAAAUUGCAUUUGUGAUUUUCAUCAUUGGACAUGUGCUCGCCCCGACCGCCAAACAUGACUACAUAUCAGUAGAUUUCUGGGCAACACUGAACAAUGUCAGCAAGAUCAAAGAUUGGAACUGGGGGGCUUACGUACUGAAAAAUUUGCUCCAAGCAGUGAAGAAGUUCAAAAACGAUGUUUCAAAGAGGAACCCAACUAUACAUAUAGUCGGAUGCCAUCUGUUCUUGCAGGUUUUUGUCCUCGACAGAUUAGAGCUCAGUGUACUGAACAAGCCAGAAGGAGUGACACCAAGGAUAAGCCUGUACGACUAUGAGUCAAUGAAAAAGAUGGUUGAGCAAAUCACGGUUAACAUCGCUGGUGGAGAAGUCACUUUCAGUGGCGGCAAGGUCAGGAGUGGUACGGCCGUCGGGGGGCUCGAGUCAGCUCGGAAUCAUACCGUUACAGAAAAAAUGGCUAGGCCUGCUAUUGCGACCAAAAGAGCAAACAAUCCAUGCUCACCAAUGCUACGAUCUUCUUACACGAGAAAUGGCCCGCAGGAAUUUUCAAAUUACAUACGCUCGCGGUACCCUACCAUAUUAGCUCAGAAGCUUGGCAUACUUCUAUGGGAACAAAAUGCACGCGGCUUAGCAAACAUAUCGGAAAUGAGGCAAGCGUUCCAAUCGAACAUGUUCACCUUCACUGACAAGCUAAUAGCGUGCCUCGGAGAAAUGUGUACAUGCUGUAAGGCACAUGGACGGAAAAUGUGUAUCCUGAAGAGUGAAGAGACAACCAUCCACGCCGCGCCUCGCACUCCAUCAACUGAUCAGCUAAGCACCCCACUAGUCAGCAAGAUUGGACCACGCCUUCCAGCCCCAGGGCUGCAUGAAGGUGCGUUGUCUGCCAGUAGUUCAAUUUCGAGGAAAAGGGAUGGAAGCUUAUCAUCAAGUAUACAAUCUGGUCCGUCGAAGAGGCUUUGUUUACCUUCCCCAAUGCAGAAGAUGGCCUUGGUCAAAAACAGAAACCAAUAG